AUGGGAUGCUACUGUAGGAAAAUACAGAAUACGGGGUUGGGGUUGCAACUGCUAGCUCGAAUACAUGACAUAAAUGCGUCGCUGCAGCAUCUCGAUGGGAUUACUGACGACCAGGAUAACGAGCUGCAUGGAGCUCGGCCUCCAAACGGCAUUUUCGCAACCUUCAGGGCUUUGUACUCCACGCUGUAUACUGUUAUUGAGCUGAAUGAAAUUUGUCUUGUUCAAAAAAAAGUGAGAGUGCCACUGCAUGGGCGCUCCCUACUGACCAUGACUUUUCCUCAGGAAAAUAUCUUCGCACCUACCGGUUGUCAAAUUGACAGCCACCCAACUUUCAACCCCCUUGAUGUAUUGUAG
RNAcentral lists this ribosomal RNA (354 nucleotides) under Triticum aestivum (bread wheat). Its description in RNAcentral is "partial small subunit ribosomal RNA". Lineage: Eukaryota; Viridiplantae; Streptophyta; Magnoliopsida; Poales; Poaceae. The record is from RNAcentral.